RNAcentral lists this ribosomal RNA (1438 nucleotides) under uncultured methanogenic archaeon. RNAcentral's name for it is "16S ribosomal RNA". It matches the Rfam family "Archaeal small subunit ribosomal RNA". Lineage: Archaea; Methanobacteriati; Methanobacteriota. The record is from RNAcentral.
UUCCGGUUGAUCCUGCCAGAGGUUACUGCUAUCGGUGUUCGCCUAAGCCAUGCGAGUCAUAUGUAGCAAUACAUGGCGUACUGCCCAGUAACACGUGGAUAACCUGCCCUUGGGACCGGCAUAACCCCGGGAAACUGGGGAUAAUUCCGGAUAACGCAUAUUUGCUGGAAUGCUUUAUGCGUCAAAAGGAUUCGUCUGCCCAAGGAUGGGUCUGCGGCCUAUCAGGUAGUAGUGGGUGUAAUGUACCUACCAGCCAGCGACGGGUACGGGUUGUGAGAGCAAGAGCCCGGAGAUGGAUUCUGAGACACGAAUCCAGGCCCUACGGGGCGCAGCAGGCGCGAAAACUUUACAAUGCGGGCAACCGUGAUAAGGGAACCUCGAGUGCCUGUAUAUGCAGGCUGUCCAGGUGUCUAAAUAACACCUGAAGAAAGGGCCGGGCAAGACCGGUGCCAGCCGCCGCGGUAAUACCGGCGGCUCGAGUGGUGGCCGCUUUUAUUGGGCUUAAAGCGUUCGUAGCUGGGUUAUUAAGUCUCUUGGGAAAUCCGGCGGCUCAACCGUCGGGCGUCUAAGGGAUACUGGUAAUCUUGGAACCGGGAGAGGUGAGGGGUACUUCGGGGGUAGGAGUGAAAUCCUGUAAUCCUCGAGGGACCACCUGUGGCGAAGGCGCCUCACCAGAACGGCUUCGACAGUGAGGGACGAAAGCUGGGGGAGCAAACCGGAUUAGAUACCCGGGUAGUCCCAGCCGUAAACUAUGUGCGUUAGGUGUAUCGACGACCACGAGUCGUCGAGGUGCCGAAGGGAAACCGCGAAACGUACCGCCUGGGAAGUACGGUCGCAAGGCUGAAACUUAAAGGAAUUGGCGGGGGAGCACCACAACAGGUGGAGCCUGCGGUUUAAUUGGACUCAACGCCGGGAAUCUCACCGGAUAAGACAGCGGAAUGAUUGCCGGGCUGAAGACUCUGCAUGACUAGCUGAGAGGAGGUGCAUGGCCGUCGUCAGUUCGUACUGUGAAGCAUCCUGUUAAGUCAGGCAACGAGCGAGACCCACGCCAACAGUUGCCAGCACGAUCCCCGGAUCGGUGGGGACACUGUUGGGACCGCCUCUGCUAAAGGGGAGGAAGGAAUGGGCAACGGUAGGUCAGCAUGCCCCGAAUUAUCCGGGCUACACGCGGGCUACAAUGGGCAGGACAAUGGGUAUCGACAUCGAAAGGUGAAGGCAAUCUCCUAAACCUGUCCGUAGUUCGGAUUGUGGGCUGUAACUCGCCCACAUGAAGCUGGAAUCUGUAGUAAUCGCGUUUCAAAAUAACGCGGUGAAUGUGUCCCUGCUCCUUGCACACACCGCCCGUCAAACCACCCGAGUGGGGUUUGGAUGAGGCUGCGGUCGUUGCCGCAGUCGAAUCUAGGUUCCGCAAGGGGGGUUAAGUCGUAACAAGGUAGCC